UGUACCACCUUGUCGGGUAGCUUAUCAGACUGAUGUUGACUGUUGAAUCUCAUGGCAACAGCAGUCGAUGGGCUGUCUGACAUUUUGGUAUC
MicroRNA precursor from Dipodomys ordii (Ord's kangaroo rat), 92 nucleotides. The record is from Ensembl. Lineage: Eukaryota; Metazoa; Chordata; Mammalia; Rodentia; Heteromyidae.